UACGUAGGGUGCGAGCGUUAAUCGGAAUUACUGGGCGUAAAGCGUGCGCAGGCGGUUCGUUGUGUCCGAUGUGAAAGCCCCGAGCUCAACUUGGGAAUGGCAUUGGAAACUGGCGAGCUGGAGUGCGGCAGAGGGGGGUGGAAUUCCACGUGUAGCAGUGAAAUGCGUAGAGAUGUGGAGGAACACCGAUGGCGAAGGCAGCCCCCUGGGCCGACACUGACGCUCAGGCACGAAAGCGUGGGGAGCAAACAGG
Molecule: ribosomal RNA, 253 nt
Filed under: uncultured bacterium
Lineage: Bacteria
Also listed under: 1 other name
Description: partial 16S ribosomal RNA
Rfam family: Bacterial small subunit ribosomal RNA
Source: RNAcentral